Molecule: RNA transcript, 1970 nt
Organism: Tribolium castaneum (red flour beetle)
Lineage: Eukaryota; Metazoa; Arthropoda; Insecta; Coleoptera; Tenebrionidae
Exons: 2
Source: RefSeq, a predicted model, not a curated record
AAAUUGUUUAGCCCGAGUACACGUUUCAGUAUGUUAUCGUUUCCCAAAUUUUAAGCAAAUUUGCAAAUUUUUUAUUGAAAAAUUACAAAUCAAAAAGAUGUUUUAUUUUUUGAGUUCUGUUACCUGUUAAAAUUAAGAGGCGUAUUUCUGAUACACCCUGUAUAACAACCUUUAAAGCAUCAUUAGUUAGGAUAAUUUUAGUUAAACUUCAAAAUAUAAUAGCGCUAAAGUCAAGGUGUGUUAAAAUGAUUUCAAACUAUCACGAGCCGCCACUGCUCAGUGGCGUCCCCAACGAUAACUUUACUUUCCGAAUACUUGGUUGCGUUUUUGUAGGUUUCAAAAUCGCGGAGUGCCUUCAACAAUUUUUCCAAUUUUUCGGUCGGUUUAAAUUUUGCGAGGAAAGAAAAAUGUGCUUGCAUCGAGUUACGUAAUUUAGCAGCGCGGCGGGAAGCAUACGCGCGCACCAUGCUUUAAACAGGUUGCAUCAUGUUUCGAGUUAUCUCAUCCCCACUAUUCUGUACUAGCGUCUGGCCCGUGCCGGUCUACAAAUGUUCGAUCAGUCGAAAUGUUGCGAGCGGAGUCGGAACAGUACGAACGGAGACCAUAACGGACUUCUCAUUUCGGCUGGGCUGGUUAAGUCUGUGUUAAAAGUUCUAAAGUGGUCUUGAAACUUGAAAUGUUAAAUUGCAUUGACUUGCAUCGGCAGUUUUGCGUAUGCUGAAUGACUUCAUUAGGACUAUCACCAAUGGCCCAGAGACUAACGAGUUUGCUGAGUACUUCAAAAAUAAUUACAUUAACAAUCGGCAUUGCUGGGCAUAUUGUUAUCGUUUACACUCCGGGCUAAACACCAACAUGCACAUAGAACGCAUGCACAGAACCAUCAAAUAUAUCUAUUUUGGUGGACGAAAAGUCAAGCGUUUGGACAAGGCAUUACAUGAGAUAGAAAAAUUUAUAAGGGAUCGUUUAUUCAACCGCCUUACAGUCUUGUUUAAGGGUAAAUUGUCACACAAAUUGAAUGAGCUUCGCACACGCCAUGUCACUAGCCAAAAGCUUUCUACGGCCUUGCUUGUAUCAAACGGUGCUGGAUGGGAAUUUCCUUCAAAUAACUCUUUUGAAGUGUACGUGCUUGAAGAAAAGGAGGGUGGUAUUUCAUGUAAUAACUGCAAGUUGAUGUGCAUGGAUUGUGGUGUUUGCAUACAUAAGUACAGUUGUAGCUGUGUGGAUUCCUGUAUAAAAUUCAACAUGUGCAAACACAUACACCUAUUGUGUAGAUAUCUCAAACAACAGAACACUUCCCUAACUGCUAGUACUGGUCUGUCAGGUAAUAUCCUUCUCUAAAUCGCAUUUUUACUUUUUGGCUGCCUAAAUUUAAUCAGAAGAACAAAAAAGAUAAAUUCUUAUAGGUUCAGAUGAUGUUACAUCGAUAUUAUAGUCAUUUGAUCAUCUGUGAUACUCCACCAACGUUUUUGGGAUCAUUGUAAAAAAAACAGAAGAUGAACGUAAUUUGCUGAUCAGCGAAGAUUCCAAAGCCUCUGAAGUUUCCGGAAUUGUAACCGGCCUUACCGUCAAUGAAGCUCUAAACCCCAAAGAGUUUGACAAGCAGUUUAUUGCCAAAGAAAGGCAGAGACUGCGUGAAACUUUUAAUCAACUGGUAGAAGGUGCGACUUGCAUGGAACAACUUGAAGCUGCGAAAAACAUGUGUAUAGCUCUAGAACCCACACUGCAAGCAAUAGCAACGAAAAGGGAGCUAACAACACCGUCUACACGUGCAAGUCCUAACAACAAAAAAAUUACACCUCAACGAGGUGUAUUGCAUUCCGUAUUGCAUUCCACCAAGAAAAAAAACAAGAGACCAUCAAUGACUCUAGUUGCGCCUACAAAUGAAGAGAUGCAAGCAAUCGCGAUACGAACGUUGUCCAAAUAAUUUUACUACUGAACAAUAAUUAACUUUAAUAAAUACUUACGCAUUA